GUGAAGAACGUAGCGAAAUGCGAUACGUAAUGUGAAUUGCAGAAUUCAGUGAAUCAUCGAGUCUUUGAACGCACAUUGCGCCCUCUGGUAUUCCGGAGGGCAUGCCUGUCCGAGCGUCAUUGCUGCCCUCAAGCACGGCUUGUGUGUUGGGCCCCGCCCCCCGAUCCCGGGGGGCGGGCCCGAAAGGCAGCGGCGGCACCGCGUCCGGUCCUCGAGCGUAUGGGGCUUUGUCACCCGCUCUGUAGGCCCGGCCGGCGCCUGCCGAUCAACCAAACUUUUUUCCAGGUUGACCUCGGAUCAGGUAGGGAUACCCGCUGAACUUAAGCAUAUCAAUAAGCGGAGGA
Molecule: unclassified non-coding RNA, 344 nt
Filed under: soil metagenome
Description: partial contains 5.8S ribosomal RNA, internal transcribed spacer 2, and large subunit ribosomal RNA
Rfam family: 5.8S ribosomal RNA (bases 2-119)
Source: RNAcentral